AAGUUUUCUACCAUAAAUAUGCAUUUAACAUUUUAUUUAGAAAAUUAUAGUCUGUAAAUAUGAUCAUAUCUAGGUUUUGCUUAUUUUCUAUUUUAUUUUAGUAGAAAUUUCUUCUUUAAAAGCCGGGCUUUGUCUGCAUCUGUGGUGGUCUAAGAACAAAAGGGGCUACUUCCUGUUCGAGAGAGUGAGCCCAGAAAGCAUUGACUGGGCAAGGACUGCACCUGGCCCAACUGUGGAGCCUCAGGAAGGGGCCCUCAUGGUGGCAGACGCAGAGGGCUGCACCAGGGUGGGUACCUGGGCAGGCUGAGGCCUCCUCUCUACCUGGUGCGGCUUCCUGCAUAGGUCUGAACACUGCUCAGACCAAAGCCACCCUGGCCCAGAGCUGGGGUCUGACCAGACAUCUCUCCCUGGACCCCACGUGGAAAUAUGCAACUCCUUCUUAGCAGCUGCAUGUCUUCCAAGGAAUAGGAGGGACACUAUGCUUAAGUUCCAGAAACUGAAGCAGGACUCAAAGAAGCAGGCCAGCUCUGCUCUGCCGCCAAAGUGUUUAUUAGAGAUAACAGAUGGACUCCAUGGACACGCAGGUUCAUUCCGUCGACGUUCACCACGAGCCUUCCACUGCUGAGGUUGCAAGAUGAGCACCCUCAAUGGAGAGAAUGAAGAAUGGAUCGUGACCAGCUCCACCAGAAACAUGCCAAACUGGAAACUAGUUUGUCAUGGGGAUUGACAAAAUGCCAAUCAAACUCACAAGGGAUGGCAAGACUAUUCAAUAUAGACACUAGACUGUUAGCAUUUGAAAGAGUCGCUGGCAUUAUAGAGGGGACCAUGAGCCAAGAGGAGCGACUUUCUCCAUGUCACACACUAGUUAAUGCCAACGGUAGAAUGAGAACCCAGAAACCCUAACUCUCAAAUCAGUACUUUUUCUACUACCCUUUGCUGUCAAAUCUCAAUGAUAACUAGAAUAUGUGUGUGAGAUGUUCAAUAUAUUCUUUUUUUCAGAAAAGAAGGCUACUUGGGGAAAUAAUGUCAUUAAUAGAAAGUUUUUGGAAUGUGCAGAGGGCCAGUCCAGGGUAUGUGCUGGAGAGAAAUAGAUGAAGCUAAAAUCAGAGUUGCAAGGAGCCAUGCUGGGAAAUCAACCCAGAGGGACACUUUGCUCCCCGUAGUGGGAGUGAGGAAGACUGGAACAGCCGGGACAGUCAGCAGCUGUAUGGAUGGUCAAUGAAGGAAAGAAGUGGGGCUCCAAGAGGAACCUACGUCCCUGAAUUAGACGUGGAACUAUUCUGAGAAAGGACAGAGAAACCCACAGAGGGAAAAGUUAAUCCCUGCUUAACUGUUCUUUGUUUCUGGACACAAGCUGAAGCAAGUAAGAAGAAUUUCUACCCCAGAGCCCCCAGUGAGAAAGGGCUGGUCAGUUGAUUCAUUUAACCUACUGCCAGCUCCACAGAGGAGACUUGCAGGGAAUUAAAGGGACACUGCCAUUUUAUGGGGGGGAAAGCCCAGCUACCAGAAUGAAGCUGCAAUUGUGUGCGUUCCCAGAUCCUGAACAACAGAGCUGCGAAGCAAGAUGAUGAAAAGGCACAGUCACCCACUCAUGGGCUAUCUGAGGCUGGACUUGAGCAGUUCUAGAGGCCCACACGAAGAGAGGACUAGCAGAUAAAAGGAUACGGUGCCGGCACGCCCACCACUGAGGAAGCGGCAGAAGAAACCAAAGCAAUGUCCUGACUAAUACACAGUCUGAGGGAACAGCAAAGUGCUUCUGCAAAUCUUCUUAACUGCAUUUCAUCUUCCCAAGAACCCAGUAAGUAGGAGAUUAUGAUCAUUAUUUUAGUGUCACAGAAACUGAUGCUGAGAAGGACGUUGUCUCGUCCAAGGUCACACAGUGGCAGAGCCUGAGACUCAGAACUCAAGGCUGCUUCAUGCCCAUCCAGGAGCAUCCACCAUGCCACGCCGCCUCUAUUUUUCUAGGCUGGCUUUAGUUGCUUCCUCCAUUAGUGAGAUGAGUUUUCACCAAACCAUCCUGUCGCUCAGGCCUCAACGCAGUGGCGCCACCUUGGCUCGCCGCAAGCUCCGCCUCCGGGUUCCCGCCAUUCU
Non-coding RNA from Macaca mulatta (Rhesus monkey), 2091 nucleotides. NCBI's taxonomy places the organism in Eukaryota, Metazoa, Chordata, Mammalia, Primates, Cercopithecidae. The record is from RefSeq and is a predicted model, not a curated record.